RNAcentral lists this unclassified non-coding RNA (335 nucleotides) under soil metagenome. RNAcentral describes it as "partial contains 5.8S ribosomal RNA, internal transcribed spacer 2, and large subunit ribosomal RNA". The stretch from base 1 to 120 matches the Rfam family "5.8S ribosomal RNA", at positions 35 to 154 of the family's 154-position model. The record is from RNAcentral.
GAUGAAGAACGUAGCGAAAUGCGAUAAGUAAUGUGAAUUGCAGAAUUCAGUGAAUCAUCGAAUCUUUGAACGCACAUUGCGCCCGCCAGUAUUCUGGCGGGCAUGCCUGUUCGAGCGUCAUUUCAACCAUCAAGCCCCAGGCUUGUGUUGGGGACCUGCGGCUGCCGCAGGCCCUGAAAACCAGUGGCGGGCUCGCUGUCACACCGGGCGUAGUAGAUUUUAUCUCGCUCAGGGCGUGCUGCGGGUUCCGGCCGUUAAAAAGCCUUUUUUACCCAAGGUUGACCUCGGAUCAGGUAGGAAGACCCGCUGAACUUAAGCAUAUCAUAAGCGGAGGA